Molecule: non-coding RNA, 24 nt
Filed under: Arabidopsis thaliana (thale cress)
Lineage: Eukaryota; Viridiplantae; Streptophyta; Magnoliopsida; Brassicales; Brassicaceae
Source: RNAcentral
UACCGGUGUAGACUCGGGCAACAG